RNAcentral lists this ribosomal RNA (484 nucleotides) under uncultured bacterium. Its description in RNAcentral is "partial 16S ribosomal RNA". It matches the Rfam family "Bacterial small subunit ribosomal RNA", at positions 30 to 507 of the family's 1533-position model. The record is from RNAcentral.
AUUGAACGCUGGCGGCAGGCCUAACACAUGCAAGUCGAGCGGAUGAAGGGAGCUUGCUCCUGGAUUCAGCGGCGGACGGGUGAGUAAUGCCUAGGAAUCUGCCUGGUAGUGGGGGAUAACGUCCGGAAACGGGCGCUAAUACCGCAUACGUCCUGAGGGAGAAAGUGGGGGAUCUUCGGACCUCACGCUAUCAGAUGAGCCUAGGUCGGAUUAGCUAGUUGGUGGGGUAAAGGUCUACCAAGGCGACGAUCCGUAACUGGUCUGAGAGGAUGAUCAGUCACACUGGAACUGAGACACGGUCCAGACUCCUACGGGAGGCAGCAGUGGGGAAUAUUGGACAAUGGGCGAAAGCCUGAUCCAGCCAUGCCGCGUGUGUGAAGAAAGUCUUCGGAUUGUAAAGCACUUUAAGUUGGGAGGAAGGGCAGUAAGUUAAUACCUUGCUGUUUUGACGUUACCAACAGAAUAAGCACCGGCUAACUUCGUG